GUGUCUGUAGCCUAGUUGGUAAAGGCAGCACUCUAGUAAUGCUGAAGUCAUGGGUUUGGCUCCCAUCAGACACA
Molecule: transfer RNA, 74 nt
Filed under: Uromyces viciae-fabae
Lineage: Eukaryota; Fungi; Basidiomycota; Pucciniomycetes; Pucciniales; Pucciniaceae
Description: tRNA-Thr (AGT) (tRNA-Thr-AGT-18-1)
Rfam family: tRNA
About the family: Transfer RNA (tRNA) molecules are approximately 80 nucleotides in length.
Source: RNAcentral